UACGUAGGGGGCAAGCGUUGUCCGGAUUUAUUGGGCGUAAAGAGCGUGUAGGCGGUUUGGUAGGUCCGCUGUGAAAACUCGAGGCUCAACCUCGAGACGCCGGUGGAAACCAUCAGACUAGAGUCCGGAAGAGGAGAGUGGAAUUCCAGGUGUAGCGGUGAAAUGCGUAGAUAUCUGGAGGAACACCGGUGGCGAAGGCGGCAUCCUGGACCGGCAUUGACGCUGAGGCGCGAAAGCCAGGGGAGCAAACGGG
Molecule: ribosomal RNA, 253 nt
Filed under: uncultured bacterium
Lineage: Bacteria
Description: partial 16S ribosomal RNA
Rfam family: Bacterial small subunit ribosomal RNA
Source: RNAcentral